UCCGGUUUGUCACCGGCAGUCUCAUUAAAGUGCCCAACUGAAUGAUGGCAAUUAAUGACAAGGGUUGCGCUCGUUGCGGGACUUAACCCAACAUCUCACGACACGAGCUGACGACAGCCAUGCAGCACCUGUGUUCUGGCUCCCUUUCGGGCACUCCCAAAUCUCUCCAGGAUUCCAGACAUGUCAAGGGUAGGUAAGGUUUUUCGCGUUGCAUCGAAUUAAUCCACAUCAUCCACCGCUUGUGCGGGUCCCCGUCAAUUCCUUUGAGUUUUAAUCUUGCGACCGUACUCCCCAGGCGGCCAACUUCACGCGUUAGCUUCGUUACUAAGGAAGUCUCCUUCCCCAACAACUAGUUGGCAUCGUUUAGGGCGUGGACUAC
RNAcentral lists this unclassified non-coding RNA (379 nucleotides) under uncultured Gammaproteobacteria bacterium. RNAcentral's name for it is "contains 16S-23S intergenic spacer region". The record is from RNAcentral. Lineage: Bacteria; Pseudomonadati; Pseudomonadota; Gammaproteobacteria.